Molecule: long non-coding RNA, 354 nt
Organism: Notothenia coriiceps (black rockcod)
Lineage: Eukaryota; Metazoa; Chordata; Actinopteri; Perciformes; Nototheniidae
Exons: 3
Source: RefSeq, a predicted model, not a curated record
CGAGAAAAAAUGGUUCUGCUUUGUCUCAUCACCACACUUACAUGAAGUCUUAAGUGUUCGGGGGGGUACAGGUGCCCGGUGGGCCCGGAUAAAUAUAAGCUGCACUCACAGUUCCACUGUACAGACCUCAGGAGGGACAUUCAGAUAAACACCUGAAAAUAUCUGACGAUGGCCUUGCUCAAGAUCGCUCUGCUUCUCGCCGUUUGUCUUGAAGGCUGUGCUUUGGCUUCAGCUUUGCAAGUUGAUGGUGUGCAAAGUUUUCCUGACGACCAGAGAGCAACUGGGGAUGUCUGCCAGGACUGCACUAAAAUAAUUGAACUCCUUGCUGACAUGAUCUCCAACGCAGACCUCCAG